UCCGCGCAGUGCCAUCAUUCCCUGACGGGCCGCAGUGACCAUAGCCGCCCUGCUCCACUUCCUGUAGCGGACCCCGCACAGCUCCACUAUCCCCUGACAGGCCACAGUGACGGCCACGCACCUGCUCCACCUCCUGCGACGGAUACCGCGCGAUUCUCUUAUCCGCUGACAACAGACGCUGCUCCACCCCUCAUAACAGAUUCCACGUGGCAAGCCUCCGUGAUGGCCACGCGUCUACUUCACUAUCCUUUGCAAUCAAUUUCCCUGACUACGGGCGGCCCACUACCAGACGGUUACAAACGUCGCCAUCAAUCCGUUGCCUCCUCCGCCUAUAAAAG
Molecule: long non-coding RNA, 338 nt
Filed under: Elaeis guineensis (African oil palm)
Lineage: Eukaryota; Viridiplantae; Streptophyta; Magnoliopsida; Arecales; Arecaceae
Description: long non-coding RNA (EGUI_LNC025174)
Source: RNAcentral